GUAGUCAUAUGCUUGUCUCAAAGAUUAAGCCAUGCAUGUCUAAGUAUAAGCAAUUAUACCGUGAAACUGCGAAUGGCUCAUUAAAUCAGUUAUCGUUUAUUUGAUAAUACCUUACUACUUGGAUAACCGUGGUAAUUCUAGAGCUAAUACAUGCUGAAAAUCCCGACUUCGGAAGGGAUGUGUUUAUUAGAUAAAAAACCAAUGCCCUUCGGGGCUUUUUGGUGAUUCAUGAUAACUUUACGGAUCGCAUAGCCUUGCGCUGGCGACGGUUCAUUCAAAUUUCUGCCCUAUCAACUUUCGAUGGUAAGGUAUUGGCUUACCAUGGUAUCAACGGGUAACGGGGAAU
RNAcentral lists this ribosomal RNA (346 nucleotides) under uncultured Pezizomycotina. RNAcentral's name for it is "SSU rRNA". It matches the Rfam family "Eukaryotic small subunit ribosomal RNA", at positions 20 to 370 of the family's 1831-position model. The record is from RNAcentral. Lineage: Eukaryota; Fungi; Ascomycota.